GGAAAAGAAACUAACUAGGAUUCCCUUAGUAACGGCGAGUGAACCGGGAUGAGCUCAAAUUUAAAAUCUGGCGUCUUUCAGGCGUCCGAGUUGUAAUCUAUAGAGGCGUUUUCCGCGCCGGACCGCGUCCAAGUCUCUUGGAAUAGAGUAUCAAAGAGGGUGACAAUCCCGUACUUGACGCGACAACCGGUGCUCUGUGAUACGUUCUCAAUGAGUCGAGUUGUUUGGGAAUGCAGCUCUAAAUGGGUGGUAAAUUCCAUCUAAGGCUAAAUAUUGGCGAGAGACCGAUAGCGAACAAGUACCGUGAGGGAAAGAUGAAAAGCACUUUGGAAAGAGAGUUAAACAGCACGUGAAAUUGUUAAAAGGGAAACGAUUGAAGUCAGUCGUGUGAAAGGUAUUCAGCCGUCUCUGGCGGUGUAUUUGCCUUUCACGGGUCAACAUCAGUUUGAUCCGGUAGAAAAAGGCGGGAGGAAGGUGGCACCCUCGGGUGUGUUAUAGCCUCCUGUCAUAUGUGCCGGACCAGACUGAGGAACGCAGCUUGCCGCAAGGCCGGGGUUCGCCCACGUACAA
This 570-nucleotide ribosomal RNA is filed under the name Vishniacozyma victoriae. RNAcentral describes it as "partial large subunit ribosomal RNA". It matches the Rfam family "Eukaryotic large subunit ribosomal RNA", at positions 55 to 612 of the family's 3401-position model. The record is from RNAcentral. Lineage: Eukaryota; Fungi; Basidiomycota; Tremellomycetes; Tremellales; Bulleribasidiaceae.